Molecule: ribosomal RNA, 301 nt
Filed under: uncultured bacterium
Lineage: Bacteria
Description: partial 16S ribosomal RNA
Rfam family: Bacterial small subunit ribosomal RNA
Source: RNAcentral
CAGUAGCCGCGGGAAUACGGAGGGAGCUAGCGUUGUUCGGAAUCACUGGGCGUAAAGCGCACGUAGGCGGCUAUUCAAGUCAGGGGUGAAAGCCCGGGGCUCAACCCCGGAACUGCCUUUGAAACUAGAUAGCUUGAAUCUUGGAGAGGCGAGUGGAAUUCCGAGUGUAGAGGUGAAAUUCGUAGAUAUUCGGAAGAACACCAGUGGCGAAGGCGACUCGCUGGACAAGUAUUGACGCUGAGGUGCGAAAGCGUGGGGAGCGAACAGGAUUAGAUACCCCCGUAGUCCCUGUCUCUUAUAC